GAUUAGAGUUUGAUCCUGGCUCAGAUUGAACGCUGGCGGCAUGCUUUACACAUGCAAGUCGAACGGUAACAGGCCUUCGGGUGCUGACGAGUGGCGAACGGGUGAGUAAUGCAUCGGAACGUGCCCAGUAGUGGGGGAUAGCCCGGCGAAAGCCGGAUUAAUACCGCAUACGACCUACGGGUGAAAGGGGGGGAUCGCAAGACCUCUCGCUAUUGGAGCGGCCGAUGUCAGAUUAGGUAGUUGGUGGGGUAAAGGCCUACCAAGCCUGCGAUCUGUAGCUGGUCUGAGAGGACGACCAGCCACACUGGGACUGAGACACGGCCCAGACUCCUACGGGAGGCAGCAGUGGGGAAUUUUGGACAAUGGGCGCAACCCUGAUCCAGCCAUGCCGCGUGCGGGAAGAAGGCCUUCGGGUUGUAAACCGCUUUUGUCAGGGAAGAAAUCUUCUGGGCUAAUACCUCGGGAGGAUGACGGUACCUGAAGAAUAAGCACCGGCUAACUACGUGCCAGCAGCCGCGGUAAUACGUAGG
This 530-nucleotide ribosomal RNA is filed under the name uncultured bacterium. Its description in RNAcentral is "bacterial SSU rRNA". It matches the Rfam family "Bacterial small subunit ribosomal RNA", at positions 1 to 531 of the family's 1533-position model. The record is from RNAcentral.